Molecule: non-coding RNA, 45 nt
Organism: Trachymyrmex cornetzi
Lineage: Eukaryota; Metazoa; Arthropoda; Insecta; Hymenoptera; Formicidae
Source: Rfam
CAAUCCGCCCUUUUUAGGGCGACCAAUACUUUCUUACAGGAAUAU